AAAACGGCUUUUCUAAAAGCCAAAGUAAAAAAGAAACCUCAAAUUCU
Molecule: non-coding RNA, 47 nt
Organism: Neocallimastix californiae
Lineage: Eukaryota; Fungi; Neocallimastigomycota; Neocallimastigomycetes; Neocallimastigales; Neocallimastigaceae
Source: Rfam